AACGUAGGUUCCGAGCGUUAUCCGGAUUUACUGGGCGUAAAGCGCGUUCAGGCGGUUUGGCAAGUCGGGCAUGAAAUCUCUCGGCUCAACCGGGAGAGGUUGUCCGAUACUGCUGGACUUGAGGGCAGUAGAGGGUGGUGGAAUUCCGGGUGUAGUGGUGAAAUGCGCAGAUAUCAGGAGGAACACCGGUGGCGAAGGCGGGACUCUGGGCCGAUACUGACGCUGAGGAGCGAAAGCGUGGGGAGCAAACAGG
Molecule: ribosomal RNA, 253 nt
Filed under: uncultured bacterium
Lineage: Bacteria
Description: partial 16S ribosomal RNA
Rfam family: Bacterial small subunit ribosomal RNA
Source: RNAcentral